This 260-nucleotide long non-coding RNA is filed under the name Mytilus galloprovincialis (Mediterranean mussel). Lineage: Eukaryota; Metazoa; Mollusca; Bivalvia; Mytilida; Mytilidae. The record is from RNAcentral.
CAUACAUCUAAUGUAAUUAUUAGUGUGUACAUGAACAUGAAAUCAGACCAAGUAAAUGCAAAGAUUAGUCGACCACUAUUAAUUUUCAUUAAAUUUUGUUCACAAGGUCAGCCUGUUAAUAGUGUAGUAAAUUGUGCACACAAGUACUGGUAUGUUGAUGUCCUCAAUAUUAAAUCCCGAAGGUUGACUGGGGAAUUGAAGAACGGUCACUCAAGUCUUUUCCAAUUUAUAUUCGAAGGAUGAGAAAUGAAGUAUACACC